Molecule: ribosomal RNA, 405 nt
Filed under: uncultured prokaryote
Description: bacterial SSU rRNA
Rfam family: Bacterial small subunit ribosomal RNA
Source: RNAcentral
UGGGGAAUAUUGGGCAAUGGGGGAAACCCUGACCCAGCAACGCCGCGUGAGUGAAGAAGGCCUUCGGGUUGUAAAGCUCUGUCGCAGGGGACGAAAAAAAUGACGGUACCCUGUGAGGAAGCCCCGGCUAACUACGUGCCAGCAGCCGCGGUAAUACGUAGGGGGCGAGCGUUGUCCGGAAUUACUGGGCGUAAAGGGUGCGUAGGUGGCUUGUUAAGUUGGAUGUGAAAUCCCCGGGCUCAACUUGGGUGGUGCAUUCAAAACUGGCGAGCUAGAGUGCAGGAGAGGGAAGCGGAAUUCCUAGUGUAGCGGUGAAAUGCGUAGAUAUUAGGAGGAACACCAGUGGCGAAGGCGGCUUUCUGGACUGUAACUGACACUGAGGCACGAAAGCGUGGGGAGCAAACA